RNAcentral lists this ribosomal RNA (397 nucleotides) under Salmonella enterica. Its description in RNAcentral is "partial 23S ribosomal RNA". It matches the Rfam family "Bacterial large subunit ribosomal RNA", at positions 1237 to 1633 of the family's 2925-position model. Lineage: Bacteria; Pseudomonadati; Pseudomonadota; Gammaproteobacteria; Enterobacterales; Enterobacteriaceae. RNAcentral also lists the same sequence under 1 other name. The record is from RNAcentral.
CGUUCUGUAAGCCUGUGAAGGUGUGUCGUGAGGCAUGCUGGAGGUAUCAGAAGUGCGAAUGCUGACAUAAGUAACGAUAAAGCGGGUGAAAAGCCCGCUCGCCGGAAGACCAAGGGUUCCUGUCCAACGUUAAUCGGGGCAGGGUGAGUCGACCCCUAAGGCGAGGCCGAAAGGCGUAGUCGAUGGGAAACGGGUUAAUAUUCCCGUACUUGGUGUUACUGCGAAGGGGGGACGGAGAAGGCUAUGUUGGCCGGGCGACGGUUGUCCCGGUUUAAGCGUGUAGGUGUGUGUUCCAGGUAAAUCCGGUUCACUUUAACACUGAGGCGUGACGACGAGGCACUACGGUGCUGAAGCAACAAAUGCCCUGCUUCCAGGAAAAGCCUCUAAGCAUCAGGUA